Long non-coding RNA from Pectinophora gossypiella (pink bollworm), 585 nucleotides. RefSeq lists it as uncharacterized. The transcript is spliced from 2 exons. NCBI's taxonomy places the organism in Eukaryota, Metazoa, Arthropoda, Insecta, Lepidoptera, Gelechiidae. The record is from RefSeq and is a predicted model, not a curated record.
UUGAGUUUCAGUUCUAUGUAUGGGGACCCCCAAAAUUUAUUGUUUUUUUUCUAUCAUUGCGUAAAAAUCUUAAUGCGGUUCACAGAAUACACAUAUUUAUCAAGUUUCAACAGUAUAGCUAUUAUAGUUUCGGAGAAAAGUGGCUUGGACAUACGAACGGACAGUCAGACAUGACGAAUCCAUAAAGGUUCCAUUUUUGCCAUUUGGCUAUGGAACCCUAAUAACGAAACCUAACCCAGCCUGCAGUGCCAGUCGACAUUUAACCCCUUUCAACUCGCAGCCAAUUCGUUUUUAAAUAAUACUGAUAAGGUUUUGUGUAUUUUUUGACUCUAAUAAAAUGCGUAGAUAAUUUCACUUCAUACCACGAUUCUAACUACUUGUCACCAAACGUAUAUUGACUGGUGAUUUAAGAAAUUUUAUCAAUGCAAGUGCAAGUCGUAUAGCGUCUUUAGCGCAAUACAAUAAUUGUAAUAAUAAGGACGAUUAUUAUUUUAUUUAAUUAACAAUAUUUUGUAAGUACUACGCUUUAGUAUUUAUGUAGUAAUAUUUGGUAAGUUCUAAAUAAAGAGUUACUAUAGUUGUAAA